Molecule: ribosomal RNA, 255 nt
Filed under: uncultured bacterium
Lineage: Bacteria
Description: partial 16S ribosomal RNA
Rfam family: Bacterial small subunit ribosomal RNA
Source: RNAcentral
GAUCAUGGCUCAGGAUGAACGCUAGCGGCAGGCUUAACACAUGCAAGUCGAGGGGCAGCAUAAUGGUAGCAAUACUAUUGAUGGCGACCGGCGGACGGGUGCGUAACGCGUAUGCAACCUACCCUUUACAGGGGGAUAACACUGAGAAAUCGGUACUAAUACCCCAUAAUAUUCCGGGAGGCAUCUUUCGGAGUUGAAAGCUUUGGUGGUAAAGGAUGGGCACGCGUUGUAUUAGCUAGUUGGUAAGGUAACCGG